AUGGCUCUUGAAGCAGCCCAGCACUACCUGCAGCUCGCCGUCGGCCAUGGCAUGUCCUCGCCGGCGGCACUGCUCCUUGUCGUUGUUCCCUUACUGCUGUUACUGCUAGCAUCAGUAAGAACCUCAGCGUCCACAAGAAAGCUGCGGCUCCCGCCUUCGCCUCCGGGCAGCCUUCCCAUCAUCGGUCACCUCCACCACAUCGGCGUCCAGACCCACAUCUCCCUCCAGCACCUGGUCGACAAGUACGGCCACAACGGCCUCCUCUUCCUCCGCGCCGGCGCCGUGCCCACCGUCAUCGUCUCCUCGCCCAGCGCCGCCGAGGCUGUCAUGCGCACGCACGACCACAUCCUCGCGUCCCGCCCGUGGUCCAUGGCCUCGCACAUCCUGCGCUACAACACCACCGACGUCGCUUUCUCACCCUUGGGCGAGUAUUGGCAGCACACCAGGAAGCUCGUCAACACCCAUCUCCUCAGCGCCAAGAAGGUGCACUCCUUCCGCCAUGGCCGUCAAGAAGAGGUGUGCCUCGUCGUCAACAAGAUUCACGAGGCGGCCACCAACGCUCCAUCCACGGCGGUGGACAUGAGCGAGUUCCUGGCCGCCUACACCAACGAUGUCGUAAGCCGCUCGGUGCUGGGAGCAACCCACCGGAAGAAAGGCCGCAACACGCUCUUCAGAGAGAUGACCGAGACCAACGUUGACCUUCUCGUGGGAUUCAACCUUGAGAACUUCAUCCCUAGGUGGCCAUUGACGGAGGUGCUCUUCAGGCUGGUCUGCUGGAAGGUUCAGCGACACCUCAACAAGUGGGACGCCUUGCUGGAAGAGGUCAUCAAGGAACACAUAAACUUGAAGCAAGAUAAUUCUGCCGACUUCAUCCAUGUUUUCCUCUCUCUACAGCAAGAGUACGGUCUCACCGACGAUAACGUCAAGUCCCUCUUGAUGAACAUAUUUGAGGCAGCCAUAGAAACAUCGUAUUUGGUGCUGGAAUACGCCAUGGCUGAGCUUAUCAACAACAGACAUGUUAUGAAGAAACUUCAAACCGAGGUAAGGACGUUUGCAUCAUCCAAGGGCAAAAGGUUGGACAUGAUUACGGAGGAGGACCUCAGCAGCCUGCCCUACCUAAAGGCAACCAUGAAAGAGGCCCUGCGCUUGCACCCACCAGGGCCUUUACUCCUCCCACACUACUCCACCGCUGACUGCAACAUCGACGGAUACGACAUACCCGCCAAAACACGUAUCCUUGUGAACGGUUGGGCCAUCGGGAGAGACCCAAAAGCUUGGGAGAGACCAGAGGAUUUCAUGCCGGAGAGGUUCCUACAAGAUGGUCAGGAGAAAUCUAGCAACCUGGGUCAAGAUUUUAAGUAUCUGCCAUUUGGAUCCGGACGCAGGAUUUGCCCCGGGGCAAAUUUCGCACUUGCAACAAUGGAGAUCAUGCUAGUAAAUCUCAUGUACCAUUUUGAUUGGGAGGUUCCCAAUGAGAGAGAGGGUACUGGUGGAAAGGUUAGUAUGGCCGAGACGUUCGGGCUGAUGCUUCGCCGAAAUGAGAAACUCUACCUUGUUCCAAAGAUUGUCUAA
RNAcentral lists this ribosomal RNA (1572 nucleotides) under Triticum aestivum (bread wheat). RNAcentral describes it as "partial small subunit ribosomal RNA". Lineage: Eukaryota; Viridiplantae; Streptophyta; Magnoliopsida; Poales; Poaceae. The record is from RNAcentral.